This 1526-nucleotide ribosomal RNA is filed under the name Pseudomonas helleri. RNAcentral describes it as "partial 23S ribosomal RNA". It matches the Rfam family "Bacterial large subunit ribosomal RNA", at positions 1 to 1575 of the family's 2925-position model. The record is from RNAcentral. Lineage: Bacteria; Pseudomonadati; Pseudomonadota; Gammaproteobacteria; Pseudomonadales; Pseudomonadaceae.
GUUAUAUGGUCAAGUGAAGAAGCGCAUACGGUGGAUGCCUUGGCAGUCAGAGGCGAUGAAAGACGUGGUAGCCUGCGAAAAGCUUCGGGGAGUCGGCAAACAGACUUUGAUCCGGAGAUGUCUGAAUGGGGGAACCCACCUAACAUAAGUUAGGUAUCUUAAGCUGAAUACAUAGGCUUAAGAAGCGAACCAGGGGAACUGAAACAUCUAAGUACCCUGAGGAAAAGAAAUCAACCGAGAUUCCCUUAGUAGUGGCGAGCGAACGGGGACCAGCCCUUAAGCUGUAUUGAUGUUAGCGGAACGCUCUGGAAAGUGCGGCCAUAGUGGGUGAUAGCCCUGUACGCGAAAACAUCUUUGCAGUGAAAUCGAGUAGGACGGAGCACGAGAAACUUUGUCUGAAUAUGGGGGGACCAUCCUCCAAGGCUAAAUACUACUGACUGACCGAUAGUGAACUAGUACCGUGAGGGAAAGGCGAAAAGAACCCCGGAGAGGGGAGUGAAAUAGAUCCUGAAACCGUAUGCGUACAAGCAGUGGGAGCCUACUUUGUUAGGUGACUGCGUACCUUUUGUAUAAUGGGUCAGCGACUUAUUUUCAGUGGCAAGCUUAACCGAAUAGGGGAGGCGUAGCGAAAGCGAGUCUUAAUAGGGCGUCUAGUCGCUGGGAAUAGACCCGAAACCGGGCGAUCUAUCCAUGGGCAGGUUGAAGGUUGGGUAACACUAACUGGAGGACCGAACCGACUACCGUUGAAAAGUUAGCGGAUGACCUGUGGAUCGGAGUGAAAGGCUAAUCAAGCUCGGAGAUAGCUGGUUCUCCUCGAAAGCUAUUUAGGUAGCGCCUCAUGUAUCACUGUAGGGGGUAGAGCACUGUUUCGGCUAGGGGGUCAUCCCGACUUACCAAACCGAUGCAAACUCCGAAUACCUACAAGUGCCGAGCAUGGGAGACACACGGCGGGUGCUAACGUCCGUCGUGAAAAGGGAAACAACCCAGACCGUCAGCUAAGGUCCCAAAGUUAUGGUUAAGUGGGAAACGAUGUGGGAAGGCUUAGACAGCUAGGAGGUUGGCUUAGAAGCAGCCACCCUUUAAAGAAAGCGUAAUAGCUCACUAGUCGAGUCGGCCUGCGCGGAAGAUUUAACGGGGCUCAAACCAUACACCGAAGCUACGGGUAUCACUUAGGUGAUGCGGUAGAGGAGCGUUCUGUAAGCCUGUGAAGGUGAGUUGAGAAGCUUGCUGGAGGUAUCAGAAGUGCGAAUGCUGACAUGAGUAACGACAAUGGGUGUGAAAAACACCCACGCCGAAAGACCAAGGUUUCCUGCGCAACGUUAAUCGACGCAGGGUUAGUCGGUCCCUAAGGCGAGGCUGAAAAGCGUAGUCGAUGGAAAACAGGUUAAUAUUCCUGUACUUCUGGUUAUUGCGAUGGAGGGACGGAGAAGGCUAGGCCAGCUUGGCGUUGGUUGUCCAAGUUUAAGGUGGUAGGCUGGAAUCUUAGGUAAAUCCGGGAUUCUAAGGCCGAGAGCUGAUGACGAGUU